AUUGAACGCUGGCGGCAGGCCUAACACAUGCAAGUUGAGCGGUAGCACAGAGAGCUUGCUCUCGGGUGACGAGCGGCGGACGGGUGAGUAAUGUCUGGGAAACUGCCUGAUGGAGGGGGAUAACUACUGGAAACGGUAGCUAAUACCGCAUAACGUCGCAAGACCAAAGAGGGGGACCUUCGGGCCUCUUGCCAUCAGAUGUGCCCAGAGGGGAUUAGCUAGUAGGUGGGGUAACGGCUCACCUAGGCGACGAUCCCUAGCUGGUCUGAGAGGAUGACCAGCCACACUGGAACUGAGACACGGUCCAGACUCCUACGGGAGGCAGCAGUGGGGAAUAUUGCACAAUGGGCGCAAGCCUGAUGCAGCCAUGCCGCGUGUAUGAAGAAGGCCUUCGGGUUGAAAAGUACUUUCAGCGGGGAGGAAGGUGUUGAGGUUAAUAACCUCAGCAAUUGACGUUACCCGCAGAAGAAGCACCGGCUAACUCCGUGCCAGCCGCCGCCGUAA
Molecule: ribosomal RNA, 504 nt
Filed under: uncultured bacterium
Lineage: Bacteria
Description: partial 16S ribosomal RNA
Rfam family: Bacterial small subunit ribosomal RNA
Source: RNAcentral